This 253-nucleotide ribosomal RNA is filed under the name uncultured bacterium. Its description in RNAcentral is "partial 16S ribosomal RNA". It matches the Rfam family "Bacterial small subunit ribosomal RNA", at positions 524 to 776 of the family's 1533-position model. The record is from RNAcentral.
GACAGAGGGUGCAAACGUUGUUCGGAAUUACUGGGCGUAAAGGGCGCGUAGGCGGCCCGAUAAGUCCCGCGUGAAAGCCCCCGGCUCAACUGGGGAACUGCGCGGGAAACUAUCGGGCUUGAGUUCGGGAGAGGGAAGCGGAAUUCCGGGUGUAGCGGUGAAAUGCGUAGAUAUCCGGAGGAACACCGGUGGCGAAGGCGGCUUCCUGGACCGACACUGACGCUGAGGCGCGAAAGCUAGGGGAGCAAACGGG